Molecule: ribosomal RNA, 124 nt
Filed under: Umbelopsis isabellina
Lineage: Eukaryota; Fungi; Mucoromycota; Umbelopsidomycetes; Umbelopsidales; Umbelopsidaceae
Description: 5.8S ribosomal RNA
Rfam family: 5.8S ribosomal RNA
About the family: 5.8S ribosomal RNA (5.8S rRNA) is a component of the large subunit of the eukaryotic ribosome. It is transcribed by RNA polymerase I as part of the 45S precursor that also contains 18S and 28S rRNA.
Source: RNAcentral
CAACUUUCAACAACGGAUCUCUUGGUUCUCGCAUCGAUGAAGAACGCAGCGAAAUGCGAUACGUAAUGUGAAUUGCAGAAUUCAGUGAAUCAUCGAAUCUUUGAACGCACAUUGCACUCCUUGG